This 2194-nucleotide long non-coding RNA is filed under the name Salmo salar (Atlantic salmon). RNAcentral's name for it is "lncRNA (ENSSSAG00000112199.1)". Lineage: Eukaryota; Metazoa; Chordata; Actinopteri; Salmoniformes; Salmonidae. The record is from RNAcentral.
UUGCGAUUGUGUAGGCUACUUUGUGCAUGAUUUCUCUAUUGUACUACAUAAUUGAUAACUCGUAUACCUCCACCACAGUACCUUGAAGUACCUUUUAUAAAGGCUAUUAAGAUACGAAUGUUUCAAGAAAGGAGUGAAUAUAUUUGGUCUGGCGAAGCGGUUUUAUACGCUGACUGAAUGGAAGCUGAUAAUUGAGUUUUUUUACUCUGCUGGUCUCGGGAAGAAAUUACGAGUCCUCACUGUCCGAGAGUCAAGACCGAGUACAAAUGUAUCCAACACCAAGACAAGACCGCAACACUCAAUAAUAUGGUCUCGAGACUGGAAUUCUCGGUCUCGAGUACUACAACACUGGAGCGGUGCUUCCAGUAGGCGGCCUCCUCCUGGGUGAGUAUUUCAUCGAGCACCUGAGCAGCAUGGUAGUAGUCCAGGUGGGUGGCGGUAGUAUCCGGGCUGGGAAUCUGGUGCCUCAAGCCGGGGUGUUCCAGGCUCUACUGGACAGCCAGACUCUGGUUGCCCGUAUCCACCUGGUGGAGCUUCUGCAUGGGCUCAGAGAGGACUGGGGCUCUGGGGAGAUGGGUUUGCAGGGUCUGCAGGCCCAGAGGAAGGAGACUGAGCUGGGACGGAUCCAGGCUGCAGCCAAGGAGAAGGAGCAGGCCUGGGGGAAGGUGCUACACUGUCACCUGCAGCUGCUGAGCCGGCUGGAGACCCUGCUGGACUGGGCCUGGGGCAUUGCCCAGGAUGGUAGCAUCCAAGGACUGGUUGCGAUUAGUUUCGGGGCCCUGACAGUGGACCCUGUAACAGGGGUGCUGGCUCCUGUUGUGGAGGUUUUCCUGGAUGUGUCCAGACAGACUGCCGUACCUGUUACUGCUUCAUACUGCCUGGCUCUGGGAGAUAAUCCUGACAGUGUGCUGAUAAGGAAGGUGGAGGCCCUGCAAGAUGAGUGGUGUCUGAGGAGCAGGUACUGGAAGCAGGAGAAACAGAAGGAGGAGGAGCUGCUAGGAGAUCUGGAGUCUCCUUGUGGCCACUCAAGAGGACUCUGAGCAGGUAAACUGAACUAGGCUGCAGGGCAGGCAGAUGGAUGGGGCUGCACAGUCCUCAACAAACAGGAAAGGAUUUCUCUUAUGCUGAGUUGUUUGAAUGCAUACAUGUCAUUUUGAUUUACGUUAAUAUCCCUAGUGGCAUUACUGUAUAAUGGAGACCCCUAUACAUUGUGUUUGUGUGUGCACAUGCCUGUAUGUGUGUGAGUUUGUGUGUGUGUGUGCACUGUAGGCCCACUGGGUGGACAGAGAGGAAGCUGAGGGUGGCUGCAGCGGAGCUUCAGGAGACUGACCAGUCAGAAUCCCAGAGGAGAGUGUCCCAGCUCUCAGACCUGUCUCUGCUCCUGCCGCCUCACGUUCUGCUUGUCGUCACUCAAGGUGAUGAUAAGGAGUGGGAGCAGCACUGCUGCUGGCAGACAAAGCUGGUGGCUGGCCUGGACAGGGUGAACGUGUUUGCAGAGAAACUGCAGCAGGACCAGGAAAGAUGAGAGGAGAGCAGACGGAGAGCACAGAGAGGAGAGCACAGAGAGGAGAGGAGACGGCAUCAAUCUAUGUCAUGGAUAGGAAAGUAAGACAGAGAAAUAUGGGAGCAGCUAAUCUCCAGGCAGAAAUACUCUGCCAGGUCUGCGCAGAUAUAGUGCAGACCAUUUCCGGAGACCUUCUCCCCUACCUCACCUCGCUCAUCAACGCAUCCUUGACCGCUGGCUACGUCCCUUCCGUCUUCAAGAGAGCGAGAGUUGCACCCCUUCUGAAAAAACCUACACUCGAUCCCUCCGAUGUCAACAACUACAGACCUAUCUGCUGCCUUUGAUACCGUGAACCAUCAGAUCCUCCUCUCCACCCUCUCCGAGCUGGGCAUCUCCGGCACCGCGCACGCUUGGAUUGCGUUCUACCUGACAGGUCGCUCCUACCAGGUGGCGAAUCGCAUCUCUGCAUGUCUGGCAGACAUAUCAGUGUGGAUGACGGAUCACCACCUCAAGCUGAACCUCGGCAAGACGGAGCUGCUCUUCCUCCCGGGGAAGGACUGCCCGUUCCAUGAUCUCGCCAUCACGGUUGACAACUCCCUUGUGUCCUCCUCCCAGAGUGCUAAGAGCCUUGGCGUGACCCUGGACAACACCCUGUCGUUCUCCACCAACAUCAAGGCGGUGACCCGAUCC